GACGAACGCUGGCGGCGUGCUUAACACAUGCAAGUCGAACGGAAAGGCCCUGCCUUUGUGGGGUGCUCGAGUGGCGAACGGGUGAGUAACACGUGAGUAACCUGCCCUUGACUUUGGGGUAACUUCAGGAAACUGGGGCUAAUACCGGAUAGGAGCUCCUGCUGCAUGGUGGGGGUUGGAAAGUUUCGGCGGUUGGGGAUGGACUCGCGGCUUAUCAGCUUGUUGGUGGGGUAGUGGCUUACCAAGGCUUUGACGGGUAGCCGGCCUGAGAGGGUGACCGGCCACAUUGGGACUGAGAUACGGCCCAGACUCCUACGGGAGGCAGCAGUGGGGAAUAUUGCACAAUGGGCGGAAGCCUGAUGCAGCAACGCCGCGUGCGGGAUGACGGCCUUCGGGUUGUAAACCGCUUUCGCCUGUGACGAAGCGUGAGUGACGGUAAUGGGUAAAGAAGCACCGGCUAACUACGUG
This 468-nucleotide ribosomal RNA is filed under the name uncultured bacterium. RNAcentral's name for it is "partial 16S ribosomal RNA". It matches the Rfam family "Bacterial small subunit ribosomal RNA", at positions 28 to 507 of the family's 1533-position model. The record is from RNAcentral.